This 29-nucleotide non-coding RNA is filed under the name Mus musculus (house mouse). Lineage: Eukaryota; Metazoa; Chordata; Mammalia; Rodentia; Muridae. The record is from RNAcentral.
UGACAAAGAAGGAAACGUUACCUCUUUUG